Molecule: unclassified non-coding RNA, 2310 nt
Filed under: Hevea brasiliensis (rubber tree)
Lineage: Eukaryota; Viridiplantae; Streptophyta; Magnoliopsida; Malpighiales; Euphorbiaceae
Source: RNAcentral
AAGCUGCCUCGAUCCUUCUCCUUGACGCCUCCCUAGCCGCAUAUAAAACUGAACUAGAACCAUUGCCAACAUCCUGACUUUUCAGUACAGAAGCAGGGGUGGCACUCCCGAAGUUGUUCACAAUAUUAGGAAAAAAGCCGGCUUGGGUUUGAGAAGGGUUACUCACACCAAAUGCUAUCAUUGCCUCAUCCGCCAUCAAUUUAGCUUGCAAUGCAGCAUUUGAUGCAAGCUUAGCAGCCGCAGCUGCGGCCUUUGCAACAGAGGUAGCAGCUGCUACAGCAACGGCAGCAGAUGUUAGCUUAACCUCAACAUCUGAUGCCAAGCCAGAGUUCUUGUGCUUGUCUAACUGGCUCCACACAUCUUGGCAAUGACUGACUGCAGCAGUAGCAUUUGCAGCAGCCUCCUCUGCCUGCAGCUUAGCCUCCUCAACUUUGCUCAAGUAUUCCAAAGUUGGAGUCUUUUUUCCUAAAUCAAGCACUCUCUUAGAAAGCUCAGUGGAAGAUGGGGCGGAGGCGAUUGGUAUAUCAGAGUUGUUUUUAGGUACAGAGCUAGAAGGUGGUUCAAUGACAACUGAUGUAGAAAAAUGGCCCCCAAUUAUGGGAACAGAUGUAGGUCCUGUCUGGCUAUGAGCAACCAACGGUGCAACAGCAACUGACGAUAACAGGCCAAAGUCAUCAGAUGCAGGAGCCUUAUUUGAUAACUGAGUACAAAUGACAGGGGUAGUAAUUGAUUCAGAAGAAGUGCCAAUCUUAGAUUUUUGGGUACGAUCAUCGGUACCAGAUGCCUUUUUUCUCUUUCUAGAUUUCUGAUCAGCUGAAAACUGAGCAGGCAACACUGGGGUCUUCGUGUUGUCAUGUGGAAAAGCUCCAGACUGGAUACCACUAUCCCCAGCAUGAGCCACCGAACCAGGCGGUGCAUGCUUUGCACUAGCUGUGGACAAGGAUGACUCCUUUACAGGGGUUAAUUUCACGGACUCUGUGACAGGUAAUGCAGGAAGCUGUGCACUAGUAUCAAAUGGAGAAUUUUGUGGAGAAGCAACCCAGGGACCAGGAAAAGGGGCUGGUGGUAGCCAAGAUGCAGUGUGCCCAACAAAAUUUCGUGCUGGGGGAGUCUGAUAGGGAUGCAUAGAAGGAAGUGCCUUAUAAUCAAUCAGGGCUCCUCUAGCGGACGAUAACACAUCACGGGAAGGGGUAGCCAUAUUCCAAAGAGGGGACGAAAGUGGUAUCAUAGGACUAACAGCAAGAGAAUUGGAAGACUUGCCGCCUGCUCGCCCAGCUGUCGAAGUAGUAACCUUAUCCUGAUGCACGACCUGUUUGUUUGCUUGAUCUGGAGUUCUGGGACCUGAUCGUGAAUGAGAUGGCGUUUCAUUGUUUCCAGCACGAGAUCUCUGUCCAUGAAUCCUUUCAACACAAGCACGCCAUGCAGGGUCCCAGAGACUUCUGCAUCCAUCAGAUGUCCCAAAAGCUGAAACCAUACAAGCUUCUUCUGGUGAUGUACCUUGUAUCAGAGAUCCAUAAACAAAAAUUUGAGCUCGCAGUUGCACUUGUUGUAGAUCUGUGAAAGGCUGAUGAAACAAUACGGAUGCAGAAGUAGUGUUUAAAUCAGGUAAACUUGAAGUUGGAAAGGAAACAACCCCGCUGGACUUUGUAAUAUUGCGCUCAAUAGUUCCAGUUCCAGUUUCAAAUUGAAUUUUUUGCACAGCCACAGAGGGGCUAAACUGAACACAAGAUUUGUCUCCUCUAUCCGACUGCUUCGAUGAGUUUAUCGCCUUCGAUUGCCUUCCCUUUCUAGGGUUUUCUUUACCUGAUUUCCCUGAGCCACGGCUUGCCUUGCGAUCACCCUUAGCACCCCCAGACGGAGUCCCUUCAUCAGGUACCAGUGGACUUCCAUGAGAAAUUUUUUGCAUGAUCUCAGUAUCAGUUUGCUUGCUGCCAGAUGUCAAAUGCAGUCUAUCCUCAGCCUUCAACUCGGUUGGUUGGCAAGCUUGACUACUGAUGAUUGAUUUGUCAGCUUCUCCCUUGGCACUACCAGCAGCCAAUGGACUCACAUCAAAAGUAAAGCUCCUAUCUGUUUUAGUGGAAGCUUUUUCUCCUGAAUUUAUGGAGGUGGACAGCGCUUCACCACCAAUUUCAGUUGUAUCUACAAGGGGAGCAACCUUCUCAACUACAGCUCUACUUCUACUCGGGGUUUUUUUCUUUUCACUUGGUGAAAGUGCAGUAUAACUUGGGACGGAAGCGGAAUCAUGUUUAAGUCCACCAAUAACAUCAGAACUUCCCUCAACUCCAACUUCUCCGAAUUUCACUGUUUCUA